AAGUGACCUUAGUCUAGUGGCAGAUGAUAAGUCCACUGAUGGACAGGCACCAUCACACCAGGGAUCGAGUCCCUCUCCUUACAAUUUGUAGGGAUUAGGCUAAUGGGCCGGCCAGUUGUGGCCCAAGGUUGACAAAAAAAAAAAAAAAAAGUUUAUUAAUCUCUAGCCAAGCUGUAUAGGCCCUCUUGAUGAUCUAGGACCACAAAUCCCUUUUGAUAUAUAACAAGAAAAUUUAUGUGUACAACCCUCUUUAUGAUGAUACAGUUUAUGUCUUGGACCCAAAAACGUUUACAAUAUGUUUUUCAAAAGAUCAAAGAAAAUUAAUUAACUAAUUGGUUUUUGCCUUUUUCUGCUCAAGUUCUCUGACUUGUAUUGUGAAUAAAAAAAAAUUUACUCAUGUUGUUCUCUGUAAACUCUUCCAACAAAAUAAAACCAAAGCAUCA
RNAcentral lists this long non-coding RNA (443 nucleotides) under Arabidopsis lyrata. RNAcentral's name for it is "long non-coding RNA (ALYR_LNC003119)". Lineage: Eukaryota; Viridiplantae; Streptophyta; Magnoliopsida; Brassicales; Brassicaceae. The record is from RNAcentral.